UGCAUGUGUAGAAUGAAGUGAAGCCAUUAGGUGGAACAGCGAAAAGCUCAGUAAUACAAUCAUUAUUUGGUCUACAAGAUAUAGAAUAACCUUGAUAAAUUAAGGCUAAAGCUAUUGUAGAAUAAGAGAUUGACCUAUCAGCUAGUAUGUAGGGUAAGGGCCUACGUAGGCGAUGACGGGUAACGGGGAAUUAGGGUUCUAUUCCGGAGAAGGAGGCUGAGAGAUGGCUACUAGGUCUAAGGAGAGCAGCAGGCGCGAAACUUACCCAAUGCUAUUUAGUAGUGAGGUAGUUAUAAGAAGUAGUGAAUGUAUUUUA
Molecule: ribosomal RNA, 316 nt
Filed under: Astathelohania contejeani
Lineage: Eukaryota; Fungi; Microsporidia; Astathelohaniidae
Description: bacterial SSU rRNA
Rfam family: Microsporidia small subunit ribosomal RNA
Source: RNAcentral